AAUCAACGCUGGCGGCGUGCCUCAGACAUGCAAGUCGAACGCUGCUGUUCGCCUUCGGGUGGACAGCGGAGUGGCGCACGGGUGAGUAACACGUAGGUAAUCUACCUUUGGGUGGGAAUAACAGCCGGAAACGGCUGCUAAUACCGCAUAAUGCAGCGGCAUCACAUGAUGACAGUUGUUAAAGCGAGGGAUCGUAGGACCUCGCGCCUGAAGAGGAGCCUGCGGCAGAUUAGGUAGUUGGUGAGGUAAUGGCUCACCAAGCCUGCGAUCUGUAACCGGCCUGAGAGGGCGGUCGGUCACACUGACACUGACAUACGGGUCAGACUCCUACGGGAGGCAGCAGUCGGGAAUCUUGGGCAAUGGGCGCAAGCCU
RNAcentral lists this ribosomal RNA (373 nucleotides) under uncultured bacterium. RNAcentral describes it as "bacterial SSU rRNA". It matches the Rfam family "Bacterial small subunit ribosomal RNA", at positions 32 to 384 of the family's 1533-position model. The record is from RNAcentral.